Molecule: ribosomal RNA, 464 nt
Filed under: uncultured phototrophic eukaryote
Lineage: Eukaryota
Description: bacterial SSU rRNA
Rfam family: Bacterial small subunit ribosomal RNA
Source: RNAcentral
UGGGGAAUUUUCCACAAUGGGCGAAAGCCUGAUGGAGCAAUACCGCGUGGGUGAAGAAGGAUCGUGGUCUGUAAAGCCCUUUUCUUAAGGAAGAACAAAUGACGGUACUUAAGGAAUAAGCACCGGCUAACUCUGUGCCAGCAGCCGCGGUAAUACAGGGGGUGCAAGCGUUGUCCGGAAUGAUUGGGCGUAAAGCAUCUGUAGGUGGUUCGUAAAGUCAACUGUUAAAUCCCAGAGCUCAACUUUGGACAAGCAGUUGAGUACUUACGGACUCGAGUAUAGUAGGGGCAGAGGGAAUUCCUAGUGGAGCGGUGAAAUGCACAGAGAUUAGGAAGAACACCAGUGGCGAAAGCGCUCUGCUGGGCUAUGACUGACACUGAGAGAUGAAAGUUAGGGGAGCGAAAAGGAUUAGAUACCCUUGUAGUCCUAACCGUAAACGAUGGAUACUAGAUGCUGUCAAAAAC